RNAcentral lists this ribosomal RNA (207 nucleotides) under uncultured bacterium. Its description in RNAcentral is "partial 16S ribosomal RNA". It matches the Rfam family "Bacterial small subunit ribosomal RNA", at positions 1294 to 1500 of the family's 1533-position model. The record is from RNAcentral.
CGGAUUGCAGGCUGAAACCCGCCUGUAUGAAGUUGGAAUCGCUAGUAAUCGCGGAUCAGCAUGCCGCGGUGAAUACGUUCCCGGGCCUUGUACACACCGCCCGUCACACCAUGAGAGUCGGGAACACCCGAAGUCCGUAGCCUAACCGCAAGGGGGGCGCGGCCGAAGGUGGGUUCGAUAAUUGGGGUGAAGUCGUAACAAGGUAUC